Molecule: unclassified non-coding RNA, 6555 nt
Filed under: Haliotis rubra (blacklip abalone)
Lineage: Eukaryota; Metazoa; Mollusca; Gastropoda; Lepetellida; Haliotidae
Description: mOB kinase activator 2-like, transcript variant X1
Source: RNAcentral
UGGUAGCUGUUUGCAAUGAAGGAAGCAGCUAAGAGAUACCUCUGGCAGACAAUGAGGAAGGGGAGACGGAAAGAUAAGGACUCCCCUACCCCCCCUGCCAGCGAGGAACAGCGUCAGUACCUGGGGGAAACGUUCAUCAAGGAACGUGUCACAGAAGCAGAUUUCUUCAAGCUAGUCUCACUACCUCCACACCUAGACUAUAACGAGUGGUUGGCUACUCACACGAUAGCGUUCUUCAACCAUGUGAACUUAAUGUACGGGGUGAUCUCUGAGUACUGUACCUCUGAGGGACAGGCAUGCUCCUCGAUGGCAGCCCCGGGCAGUGUGCAAUAUUAUUGGUAUGAUGACAAGGGGAAGAAAUACAAAUAUUCAGCUCCUCAGUAUAUUGACUAUGUCAUGACAUAUAUACAGACGUCCAUCACAGACGAGUCUGUCUUCCCAACAAAGUUUGGUCAUGUCUUCCCAAACUCAUUUGAAACAGUUGUGAAGAAGGUGCACCGUUAUCUCCUCCAAGUAUUAGCACACAUAUACCAUGCACAUUAUAGGGAACUUCUGACACUUGGCCUGCAUGGCCACUUAAACAGUCUGUUCACUCACUUCAUGGUGUUCAAUAUGGAGUUUAACUUACUAGAGGAGAAGGACACGGAGGUCCUCCAGGACCUGGUGGAGGCCCUCCUCAAAUGUCUAGAAGACUAUAACCAGAGUAUACAGGAUAAUGCAGCUAAUGAAGAUAGUGCAGACACACCGGAAGACACUAGUCCCCAACAGCCAGAGAAACAGCUGCUGCAAACAUAGUGGAUUCCUAACCUUUGUCUUUCAUAUCAACAGGAUGUGUAAUGGUCGUGCAUUUGCAUCGGGGACUCAGGAUAUAGUGUGGAAGGAUCAAGGAUGUGAUACUGUGCUAGGGAGGAGUGUAUCAACAGUGUGACUCUAGAGAGAGAGAAGAUCCUGGAUAAGGAUCUGAAUGCUUGGAUGUGGAGUUGGUCCUCAUGCAGCUGAAGAAGGAUCUCGUGCCUCUUAGUUUCAGCUUUCUGUAGUUUGAAUGGAUCAGUGUUCAUAAUGUCAUUUUGGGUGAUAAUUUCAUUUUCAGCAGGGUUUGUGCUUUGUUAUUGUUUUAUAUCAAUGGUAUAUAAAUACAUGAAUGCUAAUGACGAAUUAAUGAGGUGUUAUUUGCUUAUUUGGGGUAGAAAUGUUAGUUCUUUGUUGAAAGCCAUAGGCAUGCUUCAUUUGUUCCAACUUCCGAUAAGGAUUUGAUAAAAGGAAACAUCGAUCCUGUUUACUGAUCUGUAUAUUGUUUUUACAAUAUCUGAUGGAAGAAAAUACCUCGGUGAUGAAUAAUGACAAAAUGACAGUGUCGACUGCUACAGAUGAGUUGUAGGUUGCCAUUGAGGUAGAUGCAUGAUGCAGAGAGACUGUGAUGUUUUCCUGGUGUAGAACUUGAUCAGUGUGAUUCUUCUGACUCUGUGGUUUGGGUAUGAGGAACCCAGUCCAGGGUUUCGAUGACUAUAUGAGGACUGCAUAUUCUUGUUUCAAAUCUUUCCACACAUUGACCACCUUACAGAGUUCUGCAAUAGGCUGCUACCCACACCCUCUCUAUAGAGAUGUAUGCUUCACUAAUGUAUUGCUGUGGACUGAAGUUAGAACAAACAAUACUCUGUGUUGAAUAUAGUGGCACAUUAGGGAUUUUACCCAGCAAGAAUGUAUUCAUCAACACUAGCUGGUGUUGUGUGCUGUACAGCAGGUAUGUGUUGUAAUUUGUUAUGUCACUUUGUGGGCCGGGUCAGAACACUGGCAUGGAAUCUGAUGUGCAGGAAAGUGGCGAUUCUUUCAGAUCUUCAGAUGAAGAACCCAAUUACACCUUUAAUGAAUAGUUACAUACUUUGGAUGAUGCUGGACAGUUAGUGCCAAAAUGAUUUGAGUUGAUGACCAGGGACCAGGUCAUCAUAGCAGAUAAGGACUGAUAUGUGCCAAGUCAAUACUCUUGGAGAAGGCUCUCAUGGUCAGAUUUCUUGAAAGAUGUCAUGGGUUUUAUCUGCAAAAUGCAAAGAUAGGAUUCCCAUUGUUGCCAAUAAUAUUGUUAUAUGGGGCUGCCAUUGUUAUCAGUCUUGAAGAAGGUGCCAAGGAAGUGAUGGAUGUCAAACAGGUAAUCGCGUACAGGUGCCAAAUAUUACCAUGCAAAGGCUGUAUUGUUGCUGUGUACGUCCUUGGCAGGAUUGAAGUUUGACCUCAUGAAGCCCAGGGCUCUCUUGUUGCAGGGUUGGAGGUGUAUAACAUAGAGUUGAUUGUGCACUGGUGCCAAGCCUUCGUUCUGCUGCUUGCCAAAGAAUUGUGGUGUAGAACUAAUCUGACACUUCUGUGUGCCUACAUGUUCUCUAUGACAUCUGCUGGAGGACGAUGAUAAGUGACCUUGUACAAGUACCAUACAGUUGGCUGCAGUGAUAUUCCUGCAGUGAUGGAGAUUCUCAUGCAGUUAACACUGCCAGUCUUAGUAGGCUUUAUUGGAUGAAAAAUAAGGAACCUCAUUGGUUUGGUCAAAUGUAGUAAAUAUAAUGUCAUUAAUUCACUGAAAACUGUAAGAAUGGAUGAAAAACAAACUGAGCCGUGUGAUGAAAAACAUUUUAGACAAUGCCGAGAGCUAUGCCUUUGACUGUACACUCAUGUAUGGUUGUGUUAGUAUUGUGCUGAUGUUAAAAGUGAUAGCACCACUAGCAUUUGUCAUGAACACAGUUGUCUGAUACAAGGAAGGUUCAAUGAGAUGUUCAUUUCUUUCAAUGUGAAUUUGGAUGAUUUCGGUACUGUUAAUGGUAUGUUCCGGCCAAGACAAAAGAUAUACUGAUUUCUUAAAUGCUUGUUUUGAUCAUUGCCAUUUACUUUGGCAGUCUGAAUUCUAAAAGGUUGAAAUGAAAUUCAUGUAAAUAGACUUUUCUUUAGUCCUUGGAUGACAUUUUUCGAUUUUCAUAAAGCCAUCCUUUGACUUUUGGAAAAGUUUCAUGAGGUCUUAAAUCAUCGUCAACCUGACCAAUUUACAAAUGAUUUGAAGUUGGAUUUGUAGUACUCAGUAUAGUUCUUUGUUCAAAAAAUGAAAAGCAAUUUUCAGACGAAAAGACGUUUCAGACUUCGCUAUUUACAUUGCUAAUGGUAGUUGAGAUUAAUGAAUUAAUGACAGUUUCUUGAAGGAUGACAGAAUACUCUGUCCUAUGAAAGAAAGUUCAUCUUUUGUUCCUUGUAUGAGACCAGCUGCUUUGUCUACAGUAAUACUGUCAUAAUACCCUGAUGUCAUCCAUGGCUGGAAGUGAACACACGUAGGCGACGCUCCAAGUACUGUCUGUGUGGGCAGUCUUGUUACUCAGGCCACUGCUACUGAUGAUCACUUGUUGCUGUGAACAUGACCCCAGUGUUUAGACAUGCAUACUUCCUGAUCCAAUUGCUUUGUCUUCUGCAAUACUAGAACGUUAAGUGGAGCUGUGAUAUCUUGGAAAAAUGUACAUACUCUGAUAAUAACUAUGUUAAUGGCUUUGGUCAUUCAGUGUCUAGGUAUCAUAUUAAUAUAUAUUUUCCUCAUACUUAAAUUAAGCAGUAUUAUGUUUCAGCUUAAGCAGAGCACAGUAACCUUGAGUAAAUGCAGACAUUUACAUAUACAUACCAUCUUAUAAAAUAAUGCCAAAUGUUGAAGUUUAAAAUUAUGCUCGAAUGCCAUUUGUGUGUUCUUAUCCGCAACACUUUUGGUUAAAAUGUCCCCACAAAGAUGCUGUGAAUUCUGUAUGUACGGACUUGAGUACACUAAUUCAUGUAAUAAAGAUCUGGGUUUCCUCAGCACUACCUAUGACCUUCUUUCCUGUUAAGGUUGAAUCCAAAGGCAUGUAGAGGGGAUCCCAUAAAGCAAGACAUGUGAGGCAUUUUUAUUCAUAGCCAAGAAACUGACAUGCAUUUUUCAUCUGAUCUCUCAUCUAAUAUUUAAAGUAAUAUCUUGUUCUACAUUUACCUUUGAAUUUUUCACAUGUUGUUCCUACACAAACUGUGAGCAUGGCACAUUGCAGAAAAAGGAUAAUCAUGACAAAUCUGUAAACCUCCAAUUUUGAGCUCCCAAGGGGAGAUAAUCCAGCUUGGCAGCAUUAUCCAACAUGGCCACCCCUAGCAGCAGCAAAGCAUAAGAAUGUAUUUAUUUUAUAGAUUAUUUAUUUUGUUGUAGAUUGUAGUAUUUUCAGUUGUUGUCAGGGUUUGUUUCAGGACGUCCCCAGAUAAACGCAGUCAAGCUAACGAUGCUAACACUUGUUACUGACCAUUCACUGAGUGCUUAAAGCUCUGCAUUUCUGAUGUUUCAAUACUUUGAGUGAAUGUCAUUUCCUUUUGUUUUACCAGCAGUUCUGAUUAGAAUACUCUGGAUUAUGUGUAAUACUUACAAACAUGCAUUUUGUUUUUCUUUUGCCUUUGAAACUAAUUUUAUAUUCCUGGGUUGAAAUAUUCCAUAUGUGUUCAGGAGUUAGAACCAAAAUACACAUGCCAUUGUUGUUCUAUCAUUAAUGUCAUAUAUAGCUUUCAUUUCAUUAACAAACACAAUGAUCUGUCACUUCUUUGUGGUUUCUGUCUGUAACUGUUUGCCUCAAUGUGUGCAAAUGUGAUUGCCUUCAAAUAUUUGGGGCCAUAUUGUGUACCAAUCAAACAAGACAAAAUAUUGCAAACCAUAUUGGUUGUUUUGAAUUUGUGUUUAAUAUUUUAUUGUCAAAUUUCUCACUGUUGUACACAGAAAUGAGCCCUUUGUCAAAUAUGAAUAAACAGACAAGUGUCAUAAUGACAGGUAGAAAAUGAGAAAUCAAAUAUUUUAGGCGUGUCACACUCACAUUAGAUAAGGCUAUUUAGGUCGAGCAUGUUUUUGGAUUUCACUGAAGGCAAAAUAGCAUUUAGUUGUUUUUGAUGAGCAAUUUGUUAAAAAGUGGGAAACGCUACAGCCCAUGUUUCACAUGCUAUACACUUCAUCUUGUCAUGGCAAGUUGGAAACCUUGCCUAGUCUUUUUUUUCAUAGUGAAUUAGAAUCCUAACAUGGCUAUUGUCAUUGUGAAAUGGAAUCUUAACCUGAUGAUUGUCAUUGUGAGGUGGAACCCUAGCCUGAUGAUUGUCAUGGUGAGGUGGAACCCUAGCCUGGUGGUUGUCAUGGUGAGGUGGAACCCUAGCCUGGCUGUAGUCAUGGUGAGAUGGAACCCUAGCCUGGUGAUUGUCAUGGUGAGGUGGAACCCUAGCCUGGCUGUAGUCAUGGUGAGAUGGAACCCUAGCCUGGUGAUUGUCAUGGUGAGGUGGAAUCAUAGCCUGGCUGUAGUCAUGGUGAGAUGGAAUCUUAACCUGGCUGUUGUCAUGGAGAGAUGGAAUCUUAACCUGGCUAUUGUCAUGGUGAGAUGGAAUCUUAACCUGGCUAUUGUCAUGGUGAGAUGGAAUCUUAACCUGGCUGUUGUCAUGGUGACAUGGAAUCAUAGCCUGGCUGUAGUCAUGGAGAGAUGGAAUCUUAACCUGGCUAUUGUCAUGGUGAGAUUGAAUCUUAACCUGGCUGUUGUCAUGGUGAGAUGGAAUCUUAACCUGGCUGUUGUCAUGGUGAGAUGGAAUCUUAACCUGGCUGUUGUCAUGGUGAGAUGGAAUCUUAACCUGGCUGUUGUCAGGAAGAGUGGAACCUUACCCUGACUGUUGUCAUGGUGAGUGGAAUCCUAACCUGUCAAUCUACUCUAUAGAAGUGUUUCCUCUGCACUAGUAUUCAUCUGAACCAGACCUUACUUCAUAAUAUCUGUAUUUCAUGUGGUUAGUGCCAAACAUUAGGAGUGGGAUCUCUAGAGCCUUGUAAUUUGCCCUAUGAGUUUGCUUACAUAGUAUGUAACAAGUGAUACUAUGGAUCUUGCUAAUGUGACUAGCAUGAUCUAUGUUCGUCCAGGCUUUGUUAAAUAUACUCAAAAGCAUUUUGUGUAGUAUUCAGCUAUUAUUUAGGACACCACAUGCUGAAAGAGCAUCUGUUAAUGGAUGCAAAUGAUAGAGAAUACUCUGAGCUGUGUCCCCACCUUUUGGUUUGACAUAGUGUAAUCAGUAUUUCAAUAAGCAUCGGACUCUUAUAUAGCUUUUGUGUAAAAACAUUCAAUGUCCCACAUAAUGAAACAAAUCAUAGUAAGAAAACUUACUCUUUUUAAAGAAUGUUUUGUAUGGAAAUGUGCUAAAACAAUAAUUCAAUGACAAAUCAACUUGGGGCUUCUUGAAAAUAUCUGAAACAAAUAUGCCUAGUUCUGUUUUGUGAGAAUGAAAAUAAUGUCAAUUUUGGCCUUAAUAUGCUAGGAAUUUGGGGAUAAUGAUUUGUAAGAAUCAUAUGAUAUUUUUUUUUUGAUUAUGAUUAUAUGUGUUGCAUUCUUCCAAGUAGGCUUAUACAUGUAUGAGUUGUGUAGAGGACACUGUGUGGACUCUUGGCACUAAUCAGAUGCUCUACAGACACUACAGUAAGUGUAACUGUGUAUCAUAUACUUCAUGGCUGUCAUCAGCUCAACACAAUACAUUUUACUCCUAUGUCAAAAUAAAAGUUAUAUUAUGAAA